RNA transcript from Brachypodium distachyon (stiff brome), 2420 nucleotides. It is a transcript of the gene named LRR receptor-like serine/threonine-protein kinase FLS2, with no coding region annotated. The transcript has 2 exons. The record is from RefSeq and is a predicted model, not a curated record. Lineage: Eukaryota; Viridiplantae; Streptophyta; Magnoliopsida; Poales; Poaceae.
AGUCAAAAAGCCCUCGUGCGUUUCUCCUCCCAGCGUCUGGGUUGAAUACUGGACAAGCAUGUGCCACAACUCGCCGACAGUCCACCCAUGGAGCAAUAUCCACUGGAUCACCUGUCACAAUGUGAUGAUGCAAGGAAAACGAAUUAAGGUGAAGAGAACAUAAAAAGAGGGCCUAACAACAUGGGAUUUGUUCGAGAAGAAUAUAUACACGUAAGAGCUUCGUUGCUUCAAAUUGGUCCUCGCGCAUUGACGCACAGUUAUUGUGGACGACUGGCAUAGAAGAAAAUCUUAAAAAGCUUACGUGGUGCACGCGAAAGUUGAUGGAAGUCACGACAUUUUGUACAUUUCUUCCAGGGAGCUGAGACGAUAGUUCUCCAUGAGGUAACCUUUCGUGGAAGUCACGGCAUUUGUACACGGCACGGUCAUCCAUCUUGAACCGAUACACGUUUACUUGACCCGCUGGUCCAUCCAAGGAAUCCAACGAACGAACCAUAUCCACGCAAUACAUUCUGAAAGCACGCACGGCCAUCGCAAAAUCAUUUGUGAAGAAUCUUAGACCAGUAACCUACUCCACAUGCUGAUGUUUGUCAGCAUCGAAACCUCUGGAGAUCAACGCAAAAUAUGUCUGUCUGGUUCCGGUUGAAAAGUAUAUAGCCGGAGUGCCGGACCAGCGGUAGACCUGUGGGAUUCGAGGUUGGAGUAUGGAACCUUGUCCAGCUCAAACAGCGACAACAACGGUUAGCGACGAGAGACGGUGAAAAUUACCGGUUACCGGAAAGUUUGACGGACUCAAGGUCUUCGUGCAGCCCCGGUCAAGCUACCACGAGAAGCAAAUGUGUGGAUGUGAGGGUGGUGUAAGAGCAACUCUAGCGGUUACCGAACAGGACGAGUUCGGUUCAACUGAAUCCCAGUUUUCAGUUCAACAAAAGUUUGCACAGAUCAGUUACCGAUUUCAAAUCCUAACUAUUUGAAAAUGUAAUUCGCGCGUUCGGUUUCGGAUUUGGUAUUGAAACAGCCCUUCCGAGCCGUAGAUAUACGAACUCGUUUCGGGGCAUUUCGGUUCCCCAAAUUCUUGUUUUCGGGCCGGACCUGUAUUCGGUAUCUAAUCGGUUCAUUUUUUGGGCUCAAAACCGAAUACCUAGUUCGGAUCGGGGGAGAUCGGUAACUGCUAGAGUGAUUUAGAUUGAGUUUUUAAACCCCUGGACCAUGAGCCAGCUAAGCAUCCAAUUCACGCUUCACAACUCGCAAACACCCGGCAAAACCAAGCAGAAACGACUAGCUUAGCUGCCGUAUUGUGCUCUCCGGCUGAGCAGAGUUUACAUUGCAGGCAUGCAGGUGACGACGGGUGCCUCAUGAGUUCUCCCAAACAAUCGGCAAAGCUCGCCAUGCUUUUACUGGUGGCUUUGCUACUCCUCUGUAAUAGUACAGUUGGCAACGUCUGCUGCUCAAGAAAUCAGGAGAACAGCGUGGAUCUGCACGCGCUACUCGACUUCCAGCGGGGCAUCACCAAAGAUCCUCAAGGAGCCUUGAGCAACUGGAGCACCACCACCCAUUUCUGUCGAUGGAAUGGUAUCGCAUGCACCACAACACGACCGUUUCGCGUUGAGCAGCUUAACCUCCCCGGCCUGAACUUACAAGGCAAAAUCACCUCCUCUCUUGGAAACCUUACCUUCCUUUAUCUGCUUGACCUCUCCUAUAAUAGCUUCGCCGGUACCUUCCCUAUCCUAAAUCAUGCCCAACAACUGCAGUACCUUUUUGUGAACAACAACAGUUUGACAGGGAUAAUUCCUGAUGCACUCUCAAACUGUUCCAGCUUACUCUCCAUGGACUUCUCCUUAAACUUGCUCGUGGGUGCGUUUCCUCCAAAAAUAGGGUUUCCUCCAAGUCUAAUAUAUAUAAAUUUUGAGUCAAAUCAACUCGAUGGAAGCAUUCCUAAUGAGAUUGGGCAAUUACAGAACCUGGAAAGCUUGGUUCUGGGAGACAAUAGGCUUUCAGGUCAAUUCCCACAUGCCAUCUUCAAUCUUUCAGCUUCUCUCCGAGUUUUAAGCUUAGAGAAGAAUAUGCUAGGCAAAACAUUGCCACCUAAUUUUGGCUAUCUUCUUCCUAAUCUAAAGAAUCUUUCCUUGUAUGGCAACAUGUUUGAAGGUCACAUCCCAGCUUCACUAGGCAAUGCUCUAGGGUUACAACUUAUAGAUCUAUCAUCUAACAAGUUCACUGGGAAAAUCCCUAAAUUGUAGUGUUAUGCAUACGUGCUGAUGCAUCAUAAUAAAUGUAGGAUGCAUCCCGGCGGACAUCUUGAAUGCUGGAACAAGAGGUUACGAUUGCAGGUUUCUUUCUCAUUACAUUUUUUUCACUUUGUGUUACUGAGCUCUAAGUCAGAAAUAAUGUUGGAAAUAAAUAGUUGCUUUCCGUUUUGCUUA